Molecule: ribosomal RNA, 543 nt
Filed under: uncultured bacterium
Lineage: Bacteria
Description: partial 16S ribosomal RNA
Rfam family: Bacterial small subunit ribosomal RNA
Source: RNAcentral
UAGGGAAUCUUCGGCAAUGGACGAAAGUCUGACCGAGCAACGCCGCGUGAGUGAAGAAGGUUUUCGGAUCGUAAAACUCUGUUGGUAGAGAAGAACGUUGGUGAGAGUGGAAAGCUCAUCAAGUGACGGUAACUACCCAGAAAGGGACGGCUAACUACGUGCCAGCAGCCGCGGUAAUACGUAGGUCCCGAGCGUUGUCCGGAUUUAUUGGGCGUAAAGCGAGCGCAGGUGGUUUAUUAAGUCUGGUGUAAAAGGCAGUGGCUCAACCAUUGUAUGCAUUGGAAACUGGUAGACUUGAGUGCAGGAGAGGAGAGUGGAAUUCCAUGUGUAGCGGUGAAAUGCGUAGAUAUAUGGAGGAACACCGGUGGCGAAAGCGGCUCUCUGGCCUGUAACUGACACUGAGGCUCGAAAGCGUGGGGAGCAAACAGGAUUAGAUACCCUGGUAGUCCACGCCGUAAACGAUGAGUGCUAGAUGUAGGGAGCUAUAAGUUCUCUGUAUCGCAGCUAACGCAAUAAGCACUCCGCCUGGGGGAGUACGACCGC